GCAGGUAGAGCUCAGCAGUAGAGCAUGUGCUUGGCAGGCACCAGGUCCUGGGUUCAAUCCCCAGUUCCUCCA
Molecule: transfer RNA, 72 nt
Filed under: Camelus bactrianus (Bactrian camel)
Lineage: Eukaryota; Metazoa; Chordata; Mammalia; Artiodactyla; Camelidae
Also listed under: 2 other names
Rfam family: tRNA
About the family: Transfer RNA (tRNA) molecules are approximately 80 nucleotides in length.
Source: Rfam by way of RNAcentral